CCUACGGGUGGCAGCAGUGAGGAAUAUUGGUCAAUGGCCGGAAGGCUGAACCAGCCAUGCCGCGUGAAGGUCAGUGCCCUAUGGGCGUUAAACUUCUUUUGUGCGGGAGCAAUAAUGGUCACGUGUGGCCAGACGAGAGUACCGUACGAAUAAGCAUCGGCUAACUCCGUGCCAGCAGCCGCGUUAAUACGGGGGAUGCAAGCGUUAUCCGGAUUUAUUGGGUUUAAAGGGUGCGUAGGCUGUGAGGUAAGUCAUCGGUGAAAUGCCUCGGCUCAACGGGGUGAAGUGCCAUUGAUAAUGCCGUGCUGGAAUGCGGAGGCCGUGGGAGGAAUGUGUGGUGUAGCGGUGAAAUGCAUAGAUAUCACACAGAACACCGAUUGCGAAGGCAUCUCACGAAUCCGCGAUUGACGCUGAUGCACGAAAGCGUGGGUAUCAAACAGGAUUAGAUACCCCGGUAGUC
This 460-nucleotide ribosomal RNA is filed under the name uncultured bacterium. RNAcentral describes it as "partial 16S ribosomal RNA". It matches the Rfam family "Bacterial small subunit ribosomal RNA", at positions 338 to 795 of the family's 1533-position model. The record is from RNAcentral.